RNAcentral lists this ribosomal RNA (378 nucleotides) under uncultured bacterium. RNAcentral describes it as "bacterial SSU rRNA". It matches the Rfam family "Bacterial small subunit ribosomal RNA", at positions 521 to 896 of the family's 1533-position model. The record is from RNAcentral.
UAAUACGUAGGGGGCGAGCGUUGUCCGAAGUUACUGGGCGUAAAGCGCGCGUAGGCGGUUCUUUAAGUUAAUUGUGAAAUCUCCACGGCUCAACCGGGAGACUGCGGUUAAGACUGGGGGACUUGAGAUUGGGAGAGGGAAGUGGAAUUCCUGGUGUAGCGGUGAAAUGCGUAGAUAUCAGGAGGAACACCAAAGGCGAAGGCAGCUUCCUGGCCCAAUUCUGACGCUGAGGUGCGAAAGCGUGGGUAGCGAACGGGAUUAGAUACCCCGGUAGUCCACGCCGUAAACGAUGGAUACUAGGUGUUAGAGGUAUCGACCCCUCUAGUGCCGCAGCUAACGCAUUAAGUAUCCCGCCUGGGGAGUACGGCCGCAAGGUUG